Long non-coding RNA from Panicum hallii, 423 nucleotides. RefSeq lists it as uncharacterized. The transcript has 3 exons. The record is from RefSeq and is a predicted model, not a curated record. NCBI's taxonomy places the organism in Eukaryota, Viridiplantae, Streptophyta, Magnoliopsida, Poales, Poaceae.
GCCUCGCCAGAGCGAGCAGGAGGUCGGCGAGCAUGGCGAUGGGGGACCUCACAGCUUGAGGUGGAGCCAGCCGUUUGCAGGUAUCUGCCUGCACCUCAAUUGGGACUUGAAGCUUGUUCUGCACCUGCAUGUCGAAGUUUCCUUCGAAUUUCAUGUUGAAUUGUUGAUACUUCAGUGCAUCCACAAAACCACGAGUGGGCGUUUCUCUGGUCAAUGUUCCAAAAUGCAGACAUGAAUGAAUCUAUGGCUGAUGAUAAAGGAAGCAAGCAAGAUACGGUGGUGACUACUUCUCACCCUGUAUUGUUAUUACCAGCUGACGGGAUGGUAGGAGGUAGUGGAGUGCAGAAAAUUGAUGCCUGGUGCAGCUAAUGCUGUGAAAAGAGCAAAAGAAUGAAAGGAUUUAGAGCAGAAAACUUGGUGCUA